ACUUGAUCUUUCAGCACACAGGGCCAGAGCAGUCUGUUGUUGUUCACAUACUGGGACACCAGAGGAAGGUGGAGGUGCUACUGGGGCCAGAAGGCUGAAAAGCUGAAGCUGACUUGAAAGACUUCUUACAGCAUCUGUAAGGUACCUUCGUUUCUUUGAAUACCCCCUACCCAAUCCUUUGUACUCUUUGAAGCUGACAUACAGUUGUUUCAUUUAAUGAUGACAAUGCUUAUGUUUAGAUUUCACUUUCAAAGUUGUGUGUGAAGUUCUGUGUACACAGUAUGUGUUUAGACAGUAUGUAAUAACUUUGAGACUGGCACCCUAGCUAGAACUACUCGUGUAGAAACCAUUAUGCUUUUUGUUUAUAGCAUGUAUCUGAGUUUAGCUGCUUUUGCUGUAUGAAGUUAUUUGUUCCUGUCUUACAGUCUGAAUGCAUUUCCAUGAACUACUUGUUCUCUGACAUUCAUUGUAUGUGCCCCACAUUUGACUUGAAAGCCUUUUCACCUCUGAGGUGAAUCCUUUUCCUGCAUGCUUAAGAGAAAAAUGUUAAACUGCUGCUGCUCAGAACCUCCAGGAGAAAAAUCUGUGGAGAUGCUCAUGAGUGUUUAUUUGUAUAAGUUACUUUAAGGUGUGAUUUAGUGCUUACUCCUUUCUAAUUUUCUCUUGCAGGAGAACAAGUAAGUAACAGGAAGAAAAGUCAUGUGAAGGCAAAAAACCCAGCAAAAGCAGUGAGUCUGUGCACAGUUAAAACAAAAAGCUAUUCCUGAUGCUAAUGCAGACAAAAAGAGUGAUUUUGGUGAAUAUGAUACAUGAGAUACUCUAUGACCACUAUUAUGAAUAGUGACCCUGAGAAAAAGAGCCCUGGAGGCAUGAGCUUUUGUCUUACAUUCUUCAAUGUGAGAGCUUUAUUUUUCAUUGCAGUGCCAUUUACAAGAUGUUAAAAGGCAAGCAGCUGCACACUGUGGAUAUGUAUGGAUAUUUUUGCUCUUUGCUCUUCCACUGAUACAGCAAUUAGGCUGAAGCUGCAAAGGGUCAAGAGAAGAAAAGCUCUCCCUAUGCAAGUCUAUCAAGCUACACAUCUCUGAACCUAAAUUUCUGGGUUCACUGGUUUUGUAAGAAUGCCAUUUUGCAUUGCAAACAAAUGAGCAAAUAAACUGAAACCAAACAAAUUCACGCUUUCAAUUAGGAGUGGUCCAGUGUUCUAUUAUUAUGCAUUUUUCCUCUCAGCAGCCAGCAUAGAGAUCUUCAAAAUGUUCCCUUGGGAGUUUCUUGGUUGAGAGUUUUUGUUCUGUUGAAAGGCCUUUUCUGGGCAGUUAUCUCCAGAGAAAAUCAUGUCUGAGCUACUAGACAGUAAACAACAGCACAGACCCACAGGGUACAGAGUGACCUGAAAAGGUUAAAACUAAAGCUAGUGACAGCAGUACAAUCCUUCCUGAGUGUCUGUGUACAUGUACAUGUAUAAUGUCAAAUAUAAAUAUUUUAAACACCCUUGGUCAAACCUCAAGCAAAAGAACUUACAAGACACUAUGAAGUAUAGGAUGUUUUUAAUAUCAGUUUAUUUUUAUGUGCAUAUAUAAAGAAAUUUGGUUAGAAAUGUUUCAGGGUAUGUCUUUAUCAGUAGUUCCAAGAUUUUAUACCACUUAGUCUUUUCAUCUGUUCUCCCAUUGUAUCUAGUGCUCCAUAAUGUUGAUGAAUGUGACAACUUUAUAUAUCCAGGAUUCAAUUAUACAGUUACUUACACCUACUUCCUGUUCUUCAUCUCUCCUUCCUCCUGUAAGCCAAAUAAUGGGAGAUUUCGCCUAUACUGCAUCAACAUCUACAGCUCAAGCAAUUCUCCUUCAUUCUUUUUCCCACUGGCCUUAUGCGCCUUGGUUGCUGAACAAUUUGUUUUUACUAACAAGUUUUCUUUUUACUGCCUGUCAGUUGUCACUACAAUGCUCCAUAACAGGUUUAAUAAC
Molecule: long non-coding RNA, 1958 nt
Organism: Pezoporus flaviventris
Lineage: Eukaryota; Metazoa; Chordata; Aves; Psittaciformes; Psittacidae
Exons: 2
Source: RefSeq, a predicted model, not a curated record